ACCCACUCCUCACCCAGCAUCCAUAAAAGCAUGCUGCACCUUUGGCACAGCGCGACUUCCCUGGCCCUCCCCCUGCGGACCAGUGAACCUCGCCCGAGGGCUCAAUAAAGAAGAUUUUUGCCCUCUUUUUCUCACCUCUCAGCCUUAUUGAUCCAUGGUGCCCUUCCAUUGCCUUUCAUUGGUGCCGAAACCCGGGAGGGGACACCUCCUAAGCCCCCCCAGAGGCUCAGGGGGACUCCCCUCCUGGUCGGAUCAGUCCUCUCCCUCAGUCAGGUCAGGCUUCUCCUCCACGGCCAUCUGUCCAUUUCGUCCGGUUACUUGCUGCCAGGUCGCAGUUGCUGCAGCUACUCCAGUCCAAUUCGGCCGACGCUAGUUGCCUGGCUGCAAUAUACCUUGGACAACCAAUCUCGCUGGCCCCCCAAAGGCACACUCGACUUCAAUAUCCUAAACGACCUUACCAAUUUUUGUCAGAGGCGAGGCAAAUAGUCAAAAAUCAAAUUUGUUCAAAGGUUCUGGGACCUCCGCUCUCGUCGGACCGCUGCCGCCAAGUGUUUUCGCUGGCACAAGUCCCUGUGGCUAGCCUUCCCCUUGAAGUCUGGCCAGCCUCUCUUGCCGUUAAUCCUGUCCGGGGCCCCCAUCUUAGUCUCUCUGCCGCCAUCUCCUUCUGCACUGCCGCCAUCUUACUACCUGCUUCCUCACUGCCGCCAUCUUACUUCCUUUUUUCUCUGCUGCCAUUUUAGUUCUUCUGCCACCAUUCGGCUGCCAUUUUAAUUCCCAUUAGUUCCCAUUUGUUCUUUUAACCCUGCCCAGCUAACUCCUUGGCUUCCAUCUUACCCGCAUUCUUAUUUCCACCUGCCUAUAGUGCCAUACCAGUCCACUGCAUCUACAACUCCUAACACAUUCGCUGCGGGCAGUGAUAUCCACUAAUCCUGGAUGAGGCAGCGGAGGGCCCCCAAACCCCUAUCCAGGACUUAGUAAAGCUGGCGUUCAAAGUUUUUAAUUCCUGAGAGGAGGCGGCUGAGGUACAACGACAGGCAAGCCUGAAACAAAAAGUUCAGCUCCAAACCCAAGCCCUGGCAGCUGCCCUGCAACCGGCAUUCCCUAAGAGCCGCGGCAGGAGAGGUAGAGGUACAAUCUCCCGGGCCCCGUCUGGCGUCUGCUUCAAGUGAGGCAACUCAGGACACUGGGCCAGCCGGUGCCCUAGCCAACAGCAACCGUCCUGCCCGCCUUGCAACUGUUUCAAGUGUGGCAAUCCAGGUCAUUGGGCAAAACAGUGCCCAAACCCCAAGCCGCCAACACACCCGUGCCCUAACUGCCAACAAAUGGAGCACUGGAGGUCAGACUGCCCCAGCCUCGGAGCGGCCGCUGUGGCUCCACAUGGCGACCCCUCCCUGGAUGGCGAAGGUGCCCUCUAGCUCCUCCAACUGGAUGACGACUGAAGAGGCCCAGGCUCGGGAACCCCUCUCACCCUUGCCGAGCCCAGGGUAAUGCUUCAGGUAGCGGAUCAACUGAGAUGCAAAACCCAUGUUCACAUCAUGAGUGAGUCUUCUAACUCGGACAAUGCAAUCAACAAAUUCUAAGACCAAAUUCCGGUGGCACUGGCUCCAAAGCUCCUGAGUGUGGAAGGAGGUGAACAGGGAAAAGCAGAGAGGACAAAAGUCACAUCCCCUCCCCACAGACCCAUACUGGGGAAGGGUGGAAGAUUUAGCUGCGAGUCAAGUUCAGAAUUUUGAUUAACAUCUUGGCAUGCACAUUCGAAUUUCAGAAUCAAGACUGUUGGCCAUAAAAAAUGACUAUAGCCUUGUGUAUUACCUGAACUGAGCAGUAAAAAAAAAGUCAUGGUCCUUCUGGGGCUUUUAUUCUGAGACAGGAACCCUGAACAGGCAGGAGAAAGGGAAUGUUGACAGAGAAACAAAGACAGUUGGCGACACACGCUGACCGCCAUGCGGACGUCCAUCAAACCCAGCACUGGCCCUGGGUACGUGCGCCUUUGCUAUUACCCCAAUACAUUUUCUUCUGCAGAGCAAGCAACAGAACACAUGCAGACCUUAAUAAAUACCACUGGGUAAUGUGACAAUGGCCAAACUCUCCUCACGGGGGAGAGAGUGUCCCCCAGUUUUGCUCCCUUUUAAUUUCCAGGGUUCAUAAGUAGCUCUAAAGCUUUGCUCUACAAGGUUGAUACAUACGAUAUUAAUGUUUCCCCUAAGCAGUAUAACAUAAAUAUAUUUGCUAUCUUGACAUUCUGGGUUUGGUUUUUCAGUGUUGGCGUAAGUGGGUUUUAUACUUUCUGGAACAAGAGUUCAUCACCAAAGGGAAAA
Molecule: long non-coding RNA, 2318 nt
Organism: Homo sapiens (human)
Lineage: Eukaryota; Metazoa; Chordata; Mammalia; Primates; Hominidae
Product: long intergenic non-protein coding RNA 1287
Source: Ensembl